Molecule: ribosomal RNA, 490 nt
Filed under: uncultured bacterium
Lineage: Bacteria
Description: bacterial SSU rRNA
Rfam family: Bacterial small subunit ribosomal RNA
Source: RNAcentral
UGAACGGCUGGCGGCGUGCUUAACACAUGCAAGUCGAACGAAGCUCCUUGAACUGAAGAUUCGUCUGAUGGGAUAGGAAGACUUAGUGGCGGACGGGUGAGUAACGCGUGGGUAACCUGCCGUAUACAGGGGGAUAACAGUUAGAAAUGACUGCUAAUACCGCAUAAGCGCACAGUGAGGCAUCUCACAGUGUGAAAAACUCCGGUGGUAUACGAUGGACCCACGUCUGAUUAGCCAGUUGGCAGGGUAACGGCCUACCAAAGCGACGAUCAGUAGCCGGCCUGAGAGGGUGAACGGCCACAUUGGGACUGAGACACGGCCCAAACUCCUACGGGAGGCAGCAGUGGGGAAUAUUGCACAAUGGGGGAAACCCUGAUGCAGCGACGCCGCGUGAGUGAAGAAGCAUUUCGGUGCGUAAAGCUCUAUCAGCAGGGAAGAAAAUGACGGUACCUGACUAAGAAGCCCCGGCUAACUACGUGCCAGCCGCGGC